Molecule: long non-coding RNA, 167 nt
Organism: Oncorhynchus keta (chum salmon)
Lineage: Eukaryota; Metazoa; Chordata; Actinopteri; Salmoniformes; Salmonidae
Exons: 3
Source: RefSeq, a predicted model, not a curated record
AGGUACACAUGUUGUGUUUAGGUACACAUGUUGUGUUUAGGUACACAUGUUGUGUUUAGGUAUACAUGUUGUGUUUAGGUACAGUAAUACACAUGUUGUGUUUAGGUGCAGUAAUACACAUGUUGUGUUUAGGUAUACAUGUUGUGUUUAGGUGCAGUAAUAUACAU